Molecule: transfer RNA, 70 nt
Filed under: Dipodomys ordii (Ord's kangaroo rat)
Lineage: Eukaryota; Metazoa; Chordata; Mammalia; Rodentia; Heteromyidae
Rfam family: tRNA
About the family: Transfer RNA (tRNA) molecules are approximately 80 nucleotides in length. Their secondary structure includes four short double-helical elements and three loops (D, anti-codon, and T loops). Further hydrogen bonds mediate the characteristic L-shaped molecular structure. tRNAs have two regions of fundamental functional importance: the anti-codon, which is responsible for specific mRNA codon recognition, and the 3' end, to which the tRNAs corresponding amino acid is attached (by aminoacyl-tRNA synthetases). tRNAs cope with the degeneracy of the genetic code in two manners: having more than one tRNA (with a specific anti-codon) for a particular amino acid; and 'wobble' base-pairing, i.e. permitting non-standard base-pairing at the 3rd anti-codon position.
Source: Rfam by way of RNAcentral
GGGAAUGUGGCUUAGUGGUAAAGUGCUUGUCUAGCAUGCAUGAAGCCCUGGGUUUGAUUCCUCAGCACCA